CUUGUUCCCUAUGUUAAGGGAGCCUGUUUGUAAAUAGGGCAGGUCCCCUGCAUAAGGACAGUGU
RNAcentral lists this microRNA precursor (64 nucleotides) under Columba livia (rock pigeon). RNAcentral's name for it is "Cli-Mir-9634_pre stem-loop". The record is from RNAcentral. Lineage: Eukaryota; Metazoa; Chordata; Aves; Columbiformes; Columbidae.